RNAcentral lists this ribosomal RNA (676 nucleotides) under uncultured bacterium. RNAcentral describes it as "bacterial SSU rRNA". It matches the Rfam family "Bacterial small subunit ribosomal RNA", at positions 812 to 1505 of the family's 1533-position model. The record is from RNAcentral.
GAAACUCACUGCCGAGCCGGUAUUCGGAGCGGUGGUCAAGCUAACGCGUGAAGUUUCCCGCCUGGGGAUUACGCAUGCAAAUGUGAAACUCAAAGGAAUUGACGGGGACCCGCACAAGCGGUGGAGUAUGUGGUUUAAUUCGAUGCAACGCGAAAAACCUUACCAAGGUUUGAAAUCAUUCUAAAACUCUUUGAAAGAAGAGCCUCCUUCGGGAUAGAAUGACAGGUGGUGCAUGGCUGUCGUCAGCUCGUGUUGUGAAAUGUCAAGUUAAGUCUUGUAACGAGCGCAACCCAUGUCUUUUGUUGCUGUUUACAGUGCUUAAAAGAGACUGCCGCUCUACAGCGGAGGAAGGUGUGGAUGAUGUCAAGUCAGCAUGCCCCUUAUAUCUUGGGCUACACACGUACUACAAUGGUAGGGACAAUGAGUCGCAAACCUGCGAAGGCUAGCCAAUCUCAAAAACCCUAUCUCAGUUCGGAUUGUACUCUGCAACUCGAGUGCAUGAAGCUGGAAUCGCUAGUAAUCGCGCAUCAGCCAUGGCGCGGUGAAUACGUUCCCGGGCCUUGUACACACCGCCCGUCAAGCCAUGGAAGCUGGGGGUACCUGAAGUCGGUAACCGAAAGGAGCUGCCUAGGGUAAAACUAGUAACUAGGGCUAAGUCGUAACAAGGUAACCGUAA